UAACCUGCCCAAGAGAUCGGGAUAANACCUGGAAACAGAUGCUAAUACCGGAUAACAACAGAUGAUGCCUAUCAACUGUUUAAAAGAUGGUUCUGCUAUCACUCUUGGAUGGACCUGCGGUGCAUUAGCUAGUUGGUAGGGUAACGGCCUACCAAGGCGAUGAUGCAUAGCCGAGUUGAGAGACUGAUCGGCCACAUUGGGACUGAGACACGGCCCAAACUCCUACGGGAGGCAGCAGAC
RNAcentral lists this ribosomal RNA (240 nucleotides) under uncultured Lactobacillus sp. RNAcentral describes it as "partial 16S ribosomal RNA". It matches the Rfam family "Bacterial small subunit ribosomal RNA", at positions 122 to 354 of the family's 1533-position model. Lineage: Bacteria; Bacillati; Bacillota; Bacilli; Lactobacillales; Lactobacillaceae. The record is from RNAcentral.